GUGCUUAAUACAUGCAAGUCGAGCGAGGUUACUGCGACAGAUCCCUUCGGGGUGAAGUUGCUUUAGCCUAGCGGCGGACGGGUGAGUAACGCGUGGGUAACCUACCCUAAAGUUCGGGAUAACAGCGGGAAACCGCUGCUAAUACCGGAUGCCUUUACCGUGUGGCAUCACAGGGUAAAGAAAGGUAACGCUUUAGGAUGGGCCCGCGUCCCAUUAGCUAGUUGGUGAGGUAACAGCUCACCAAGGCGACGAUGGGUAGCCGGCCUGAGAGGGUGGACGGCCACACUGGGACUGAGACACGGCCCAGACUCCUACGGGAGGCAGCAGUAGGGAAUAUUGCGCAAUGGACGGAAGUCUGACGCAGCGACGCCGCGUGAGCGAUGAAGGCCUUCGGGUCGUAAAGCUCUGUCCUUGGGGAAGAAGGUCUUCGGACUUGACGGUACCCAAGAAGAAAGCCCCGGCUAACUACGUGCCAGCAGCCGCGGUAAUACGUAGGGGGCGAGCGUUGUCCGGAAUUACUGGGCGUAAAGGGUGCGUAGGCGGCCCUUUAAGUCAGAUGUGAAAGCCCGCAGCUUAACUGCGGAAUUGCAUUUGAAACUGGAGGGCUUGAGUGUCGGAGAGGGUAGUGGAAUU
RNAcentral lists this ribosomal RNA (633 nucleotides) under uncultured bacterium. RNAcentral's name for it is "bacterial SSU rRNA". It matches the Rfam family "Bacterial small subunit ribosomal RNA", at positions 44 to 668 of the family's 1533-position model. The record is from RNAcentral.